CCGCCCACUUCUCUCGUUGUGGGGACGGGGGCCGGCCGCGCUGUCGCGUUCCUUUGCAGUUCCAAGGAAAUUAACCCGUAUGGCGCUGCGAAAGGGAUUUUUUGGCUGUAAUUCCAUUGUUGGGAUGCCGGAGCUUUCUAAAGCUGCUGAGAUGCCGGAGCUUUCUAAAGCAGCUGAUGGUGGAGGCGUUGUUCAGUGACAGACGAAGUUACAGGUUCGGCACUGUGAAAACUGCACGUACUUACGGAGCUUCUGAGGCAGGGGAAAAGAGCAGUGGAUGCUGGUUUGAAUUCCACAGUCACUGGAUCUAAUGGAAAACAUGGAAAACACUGAAAUACAUCUUCAGCAUCUUCAGAAGAGGUGGGCUUAAAGGGAUCACUGAGGGGACAACACGAGUGGAAAAGGUAAUAAUAAAGGUAAUUCCUCCCUAGGGGAGGGAAUAAAAUCUGGAUUUUGUGGGAAAUAGCACAUUGGACUGUCAUUGGACACAGUGAGAUACUGAGAUGCAUAGAAAAUUUGAAAAAAUCAUGUAGAAAAAAAUCAAGAAAACGCAGAAGGGAAACCUUACCUUGUAUUCAUAAUUUUCCACCAUCUUCUGCUGUAGUAAUUAGGGCAAGGUCUCAAUUUAAACUACUAGAAAAAAAAAUUAGCCUCAAAUAUAGAAGAGUGUGUUAUAAUAUUAAUAAUUUGUAUGUUUCAAACAUGUUUUUCUUUGCCUCUCUCAUUCUCCAUAGAUGAGAAUGACUUCAGUGAUUUUGGAGCAGUUGUCUUCAGCCUUUGUGGUUUGCAUGGGGUUAGUAAAUGCCAGUGAUCCUAGACCUAGUCCUUUUUUACCAAAACGAGAAUUUAAUUAAUCUAUAUUAAUUAUUUCUAAUAAUGUAUUGCUUUUCAUAAACAGUACUCGUGAUCAUCAUUAUGAAGCAGUUGUGUUACAUAUUUAGUGCUGGAAAAACAGCUGCAAUCUACUCCUUGAGAUCAGUGAAGGAACAAAAAUAGAGUAAGAAAUGCAGCACUUUUCAGGUAGUGGGGUAUUCAAACAUCUUUAGCGUCCUGGAUACCUCAGUUCUGUGUUUUUACUCCCCAAAACAUCAUCAUUAAGAUGAUUCCACAUCAGAGACACACAGUUUUCUUUGGUUAAUGCAGAUUUGAUUUCCUUUCAAGUUAGAGCACCCGCAUGAGUGUUUUUCUCCAUUUGUUCUCUGUGUUAUUAGCAGCAUUGUCUGAAGCAUCUACCCAGUGGCAGUUAAUAAAACCUCCAUUUUGGAGCCUGGUUUUGCCCAUUAAAGCUUCAUUCUGCUUAAGAAAAGAUUUAAAGCUCAACACAGCCAUAUUUUAUUCUGUUGUUACAAUCAGAAGCUCUUAAGCUUUUAAAUGGGUCAACCACCAGUAUGACUUAGUCACAUGUUCUUUAAGUUAGUCAAAUGCUUAAUUAGCAUGCUGGAUGUUUGCAUGUAAAAAUAUAGAUGUUUGAUCCAAGAGAUACCUUGAUACAAUAGGUGUCAUUUCAUGGGUUCCAAUUCCACAGAAAGAAGGGAAUCCUAAACAAACUGAGCUUGAAUUUGCAGGAAAUGAAAGGCAAUUAAAAAUGUUGUUUGCCCAGCAGGACUGGAGAAUCGGGCUCUUAUUGCCAGGAAAAAUCAGAUACAUGCCUUUGAAAAUUUUGGAGAUACGUGUGUAUCUAAAUGCAUCAGUUGGCUCUAGGCUGACACAUGGAGACUAUUGAUAAAAUUCAUUAACACUGGUGAUGAUGGAUUUCAGCAUGGCUCAUACCUCAAAUUUCAGUUAGUUUUGGUACGGAAACAAUGUUAAAAUUUGCUCUUUAUAGCGGUCAUUUCUGAAUUUCCUUGUGAAUAUGGUGCUGACUGGAAAAUAAAAUAUCAUCAUAGGCAGCUUACAGGGAAAAAACAACAAACACAGCAGCCAGUGGAAUGGCAACAAACCAGAUGGAUUUGUGGUAACCACAGCAAAUAUGGAUGCUGGGAAACAAGGAAAGGCAAACGAACAGAUUUGUGAGGUGCUAAGAGAGGAAAUGUCCCUGUCUUUGAAACCAAUAGGCAAGGAGGUAGAAAUUCUCCACACUUGAUCUACUCCCCAAGGCACAACUGAAGAGAUUUGAGUCAGGCAGCCAAUGGUGUUUGGGUGUCCUGAGAAAGGCUGUGUGGAUCCCUCUCUGUUUCAGUGAGUUGGGAAAGAUGGGAUGCCCUGCAAGCAGAGGGGCAUCCACGGCCCUCACCGUGCACGCCACAACAGCGGCAGGCACACAUGGUGUUUGUGUUCCAGAGCAUCAGCAAGCACUCCACCACAUGUGUAAUAAUCCACUCUGCUGACUGGAUGGCUCAGGUUCCCAGGGAAUGGUUCCCAGGGUAUUGCUGCAAAUUCCCAGUGUAGAGACAGCCUGCAAGAUCCCACUAAAAUAGCAUUUUCUAGGCGUUCAUAAUCCAAAUGUAGUUUAAUAUGUUUUCUCUUUCACUUUUUUUUGUCCUCAAAAUACACACACACUUUAAAAUAUUUAAAUUGAUUCAUUUCCAGUGUCUCUAGCUGAUCAAUAGAUGCUAAACAUAACUGACUUUUUAAAGAUAAUGAUUGUGAAAUAAAGGAGUUUUUAAAAUCUGCUUUAUUGCAGAAGAUGGAUGUAGCUGUCUCUUGAGGAGCCUUGUUUAAGAGCAAUAACAGCCAUUGAGGUUUGUCCCUUGAGAUGGUGGCAAAUAGAACCCAGGGAAUAAUUAAUCCUCGGGCACCAGCACACUAAUUACUAUUGCUGGAAUUGAUAGGAGUUUCAGUACCUUUGAAAUCUGUUUGUAUUUUGAUGUGAAUAUUUUAACCUUUUUUUUUUCCACUCGAAGUAGCCGCCAUUCUCAGUCUAUUUUCCAUCAUAAUGGGAGACAUCUAAGGAUGGGAGAGUGGCAAAAAGCAAACCACCUGCUUAACCAUCUUCAUUCUGACAACAUGAAAGGCUACAAAAAACCCUGGGGUUAGUAGCAUAUUACAUAAAUAUAAAAUAACUCUUCCAGCCUGGACUAAUUGAUCCAGACCAGUGCCUGCCAUCUGGCCAGCAGUUUGCUGGUGCCCUUUGCCCCAGCUGUCAGCUUGUGAGUUGUUGUUGCCUAAAAGCAAUUUUUCACACUGCCUGGUUCUAUAUCAUUAUGGGUUGCAAAGAUGGCCAUUGUUUUGUUUAACAUGUACACACUUGCCAGGGACCUGCUUCUCAAUUAAAGUCCUGAACAAGCCCUUGGCUGUUGUGACCACAGGUAGGUGUGUGGAAAACAAACAGCAGAAUUUUUUUCUGCUCUUUAAGCCAAAGUUCUCUUCUGUACAUUUGACCUCAUUUUUCUGUUCACAGAAAAUUCAUUGCCUCAAAAAGGUAAGUUGGAAUUAUGGAAGCUUGAAAUAUACUUUAAAAAAGGCAGAAUAAUUCCAUAACUACAAAGUCUUUACGGCAUUUAGUUAGACAUUGACUUCAGCUUUAGACAUCCUAAAGAUUGCCAGCUUUUUAUCUGUUUAAGAGCUGUGUUUCUAAAAUGUUAAUCUUCUUUACAGAAGUUGCUAAAAUAAUUCUUUUGACCUAUCAUGGAAAACGUAACAAAUUAUUAGUGUGUUUUGGUUUUUUUCCCCCUGGAGAGCGACACGAAGCUACCAGGUUAAUUGACAUGUUUCUUUCCAGCUCCUAAUUGCUGCCUGCACCCUGGCUGCACAUUUAUAAGAUAUUUACGAGAGGUUUGCAAGCCCUUUGCACUGCCAAGAAACCUAUGAUGUAGGGAUAAAAAUGAGAUACAGAUCACAACUUCCAAACCACCAAACUUAUAAACACACUAAACCCUCCUGCACAGAUCUACGGGGAUCUAUCAGCAUUCCUACCCAGCUUUGGUUAUGUGCAUUUCCUAUUUUCCUUGGAUUGAGGGCAGUGGUUGAACAGUACAAUUGGGUCUUGACCUAUAGGGGGGACUUCCAAACAAUUUGAAGAGGAAUACACAUUUUUGCACUUCAUUUUUUCAAUAUUUCUAGUCUAAAAAUGUUGGAUAAAUUUUUACAGCCACAAGAAAGAGUGCUACAUCAUAUUAGGCAUGGAAAUUAGGCCUAGUUUUGACCACCAACUACUUUUGAUUCCCCCAGAGUGAAAACAACUCUUUUUCAGUAGUCGUCUGGUUAUCAUAUUAUUGGAGAAAGUUCUUUUUUUUUUACCUUUUCUUUUGCUGUUCGUAUGGUAAGGAAGUUCUUUACUUGUUUUCACAGUGUGCUAAUCCCUCUUCCUUUUGGUGUUUUUAUCCAUACACAUUCCUGAAACUGAAAAUAGUUUUCAAGAUACGGAAGGCUGAGAUAUCUUGAUUUUCUGCCUGCAUGACAGAUUCCUGAGGCUUUUCACUGUCUUCUUCCACCACGAUGGUUUCCUCCUUUUCCUCUCCACCACUCACAGGGAUUGCAACCAGUAUUUCCUAUCCCACUGUACUUGACAAUUAACUGUAAGUAUUCCCCUGUGGCCUGGAGGCAGACCUGGGUCUAUCCCCCUCUAUUUUGCUAUAUUUGAACGGGGAGGUUUUGCUGUGAUCCGUAAUGACUUAUCCUACAAUAUCCGCCCUCCAUUCUUCAUUUCAUUUAAUCCUUUUGCCACCUUCUGAUACAUUUCUGACUCACUGUUUUAUUGAGUGCUGAUGGCUCCUGGCACCAGCCCCCUUUUACUGAAUCAUCCAGACUGUUCCUAUAUAUUUUGGGGAUCGGUUACUGGCUGUGCAAUGCACAGAACACUACAGAGCACUCUGACACUUCCACCACAGGUGAGGUGUCCCGGGAAUGCCUUCCCAAUGACACAGGCAGGGGGGACAAAAAGGGAGUGGGUCAUUAUCUCCCCAUUGCUUCCAGCAUGUGUUUCAUCCUGAGUGGCAAUAACAAAUUGGCCUGUGUCAGCUGCCUCCUUGUUGGAAAAAUAUUCCUGGGAUAUGUGAUAACAAGCAGCCCUGUGUCAUAACUGGAAUUAGGGAUCCAAGGAGGUGGAUGGCGUUAUGUUUAUCCAGGCUGCACGUUGACGAGGUGGUUCCUGAGCCAACAGUGCUAAUUAACAAUGUGUGCCUGUACUGAGCUGACAAUUAGAUUUGAAACCAUAGGAUGGGAUAGUUUCCCUAAUGUUUUUUUUCCCAGGGUUUUACUUUUUGAGGUUGGAAGUCUGCCUGCUCUUCUGCUGCAGGAAAACCAUGGCGGGAUACACAUUCUGCAUCUUCACAAGAUGGGUGAGAUGGCAAAAGAUUGUUCACUCACAUAAAAACUGGGAAGGAGCAUGCUGGAAAAGUGUGACCAGUGCAUUAUCGAAGGUACCUUCUGACCAACAUGUUCACUCAGAAAGUUUCCCUGAAUUACUACACUCAUUUGGCAAUAAAUGUCCAGCUACAAAUUCCUGCUCCCAACAUACGGAGAUUAAAUCUUCUCACUGAAAAAGGUUUCUAAAAUUUUUAGUAAGGGUGAUAUAAUUUAGUAGUGAAUUCUAGAAUAGUGUUACAAUAUUACAUAGAAUAAAAAGAUUCCUUUGAAACUUUUUUACAGAUUCUUUGAGAGAAAAAGAUUUUUCCUCUAUCUGAAACUUUCAUGUUUUAGUGGCCUACUAGUCGUACAAAACUGGGGUUUCUGGCUUGUUUUUCUUUCUAAAAAAGGCAAAUAUUAAUGACCAUGCUGGGUGAGCUAUAUCACAUUUUUCACAUAGGACUUACAAAUUUUAGAUAUAACUCUAUAAAAAAAUCAGCCUAAUUUUAGGCAACUAAAUUAGAAUUAUAUGCUCUUGGUUCUGAGGUAUUUAAACAAUGUGAAAUAUACCUCAAACUGAAAAUUUUAUGGCGUUCUCUUGUAGGUUACAUGCAGGUAAGCAAAGUUUUCUGGUGUAUAGUGGAAAGGGUGAAGAAACUCUUGCGUUUACCAGAGAAAUCAGAGAAAAGAAGAUUAGGGGUCAUGAAGUAAAAGGUGAGAAGUUCUUAGUGAAAAGAGAAUUCUGCAAUUAAAGAUGUUUUGUUAUGGGUUUCCCCCUUAUUCUCACACGUUUGGCUUUUUUUAGUAAUUAUUUUGUUGCUGGAAAUACUGAUUCAUUGUAGUUUUUUCCCACAAACAUUUGAACUUUACAGAAUAUAUUCCAAUUCAAGGUGAGGCACCUGAAGCCUCAAGGAUUUUUAUUCACUCCUCACUUGGGGCAGGGUAGAAAGUGGCAAAGUUUCACUACCACACUGCACUUGCCUUUGUGGAAAAAUCUCUGCAGCGGCGCUGAGUCUGUCUUGGCAGUGAAGACAAAGGUGUGCUCCCCCUUCCAGAGGCUUCAGGCUAAGGAUGAGGAAAGAAAGCAGAUUUCUGUUGUGAGUUUUAGAAAUAGAAAGGUCGGGAUGUUACUCUGGGCAUCCUGCAGCUCUUCCAAGCAGUUAGGUGAGUGAGGUGCUGCACAUGCUGGUCCCUCGGUGAGGCGAGAAGCUUGUGACGGUGUCACGCCGUGGGGACACGAUCACCUGGGCCACGUCGGCAGCGCCUCCUCAGAGCUCACACACAUCCCCAUCCCACGAGGAGCGCCAGACAGCCCUUGUUCACACGGCUCUUCGCUCAUCUUCCCCCCGAGCAUCCCUCAUUUUGGUAAUUUUGGAGCUCCCACACGUUUGACGGACAACCUGGAGCAGUUGGAAUGCGGCGCUGUUGCGGCAUUGCGGCCUCAAGAGGGAGGCAGCGGGCUAUGUGACACGGCAAAGCUGCUGAUCCUGUCAAGUUCGGGAUUCCGUGGGAAAAGAAAGGUUUAAGCACGACCAGAGGGAAGCAGAAUUUAGGCACAGCCGGUGUAGAUUAUGAUGGAGUAGUAGCUAGGAAGCUGUUGCUACACUGGUGUAUUUCAGUACACAACAAACACUGCAGCUGUUGUCCUAAGGUUCUGAAUGAUCCCAGGCAAAGCAGACGUGGGUUUUGACCUUGAAUGUCCUCUGUAAUUUGUCUUCAAUUCUUUUCAGCACUGUUUGCCAUUGUAAAUAACCACUGAUCUCAGCACGGCCUGAUAAGCUUUGGGACAUCCACUUUACAGCACCCUUAGAGGGUAAUACUUCAUUUGGUUUCUUGGCAACUUCCUGACUGUUCAGGAUUAUGAAAAAUACAGUAUUUAGCUGUAAUUCUUUCUCUGGGGCUAUUCUUUCCAUUGGCUUUGUAAUCACACCGAUUGACUCUUGAUAAUGUUCUUGUCAAUACUGUGUCCCUGGCUAAUAGGGGAGAGCUGAGGAUAUGAACAUUAUUUCAGGAAACAUGACACAUAUCCGUUGCAAUCGAUACAUGUAAUUUGCUCUAUCAAGUGCCUCAUGAGACAGGUUGAUAUUACAGCCAGUGAAUGUAAUAAGUAGUAAUAAGUGCUAUUUUGACAUGAACUUCUUCCAAACGUGAGUGUUUUGGCACAGAGGGCUGCAGCAGGUUUCCACACAGACAUGAUCUAGCAGAGGAUCCUGUGACCAGAUAUCUGAGAUUUCAAGUGCCUCCAGAGAGUUAUUUUACACUGGUAGUUAAUCAUACAGAGACUUGGCAGGCUGGGUGUUAGAUCAGAGCUGAGGAUCUGGGUGACUGAGGAAGUUUAUCCUGCCAUAACUUUAUAGCUGGAUGUUACAAAUUAGAAGCUGCUAAAUGCUGAAGAACAGCAUCAUUAUCUGCAGCUAUUUGGUAACGCCUGAUGGCUCUUGGAAUGUUCUGGUUGUUUGAUUCCUGCAUAAGGAAGAAAAUGCAGGCACUGUAAAAUUGUAAUUAAUAGCAGGAGUGAAAUGAGAAGAGGAGGAGUGAGAGAACAGGCCUCAGUAAGUUUCUGUAAACCUUUUGUCUUGAAUAUUGUUGUGUGAUGAAGUAAAUACUCUUUUAUUCCCUUCAUUUGAUCUGAUUCCAGGUAAAAUAUGAUUCCCCCCACCAACCCUCACUGAUAAGAUUUCUGAUAGUGCUUGAGACGGUCUGAUAUUGUACCAGGUUUUUACCCAGGAAUUUAAGGCAUUCUAAUCUAAUCUAAUCUAAUUCAAUCUUUCUUAUUCUGACAGUUUUCUCCACCCUUUGUCAUCACAAUCAUUUUAUUGGGCAAAUAAUCCAACCUAGUUCCAUAAUCUUUGUAGUUCCAUAACUUUUCCAAAUAAGGCCUACUAUAACACUUGCUCAGUUGUCUGGUGCACUUAAAAAUAAAAAAAAAACAUUUUUAUGUCACCCCUUGUCUCCAUA
Long non-coding RNA from Corvus hawaiiensis (hawaiian crow), 8184 nucleotides. RefSeq lists it as uncharacterized. NCBI's taxonomy places the organism in Eukaryota, Metazoa, Chordata, Aves, Passeriformes, Corvidae. The record is from RefSeq and is a predicted model, not a curated record. The transcript has 3 exons.